Molecule: non-coding RNA, 28 nt
Filed under: Cricetulus griseus (Chinese hamster)
Lineage: Eukaryota; Metazoa; Chordata; Mammalia; Rodentia; Cricetidae
Source: RNAcentral
UCUGUGUACGAAGAUUGUUUGAAUGGGC